Molecule: long non-coding RNA, 627 nt
Filed under: Populus trichocarpa (black cottonwood)
Lineage: Eukaryota; Viridiplantae; Streptophyta; Magnoliopsida; Malpighiales; Salicaceae
Description: long non-coding RNA (PTRI_LNC000243)
Source: RNAcentral
AGGAUCCAGAUUUGAGACAAGCUGAAUUCAUUAGGCUGUUGUGUUUUGGGCUCCCAAACGUUAAUGGUGGCCUUAGCUCCAUAAUACUUAUCUCCUUCCACAUAUACUAUCGCAUGCUAAUAAAGACUCCAAGCAAGAAAAACAAAUAUUAUCUGUCAGAAAAAAUUAAUUAUAGAACCAACCAAGAUACUUGAAGCUAUAGCUGAAAUUAAUAAUAAAACUAAUUAAGCUUCUUUAAUUUCCUUCACUAUCUAUGCGUUCGCUUAAAUGCUAGCUAGUUAGCUACUGAAUUAAAUGAGACAAGAUUAACUAAUAAUUAUUAAUUAAGUACUAUGAGUAUAACUUUGAAGUACGUACCUGGUGGCCAGUUUGAGUAAUGAGGUCAGGUUGUGCAGACCUGGGUUGAUGAGGAAUUUUAGUGGGCUUCUUCUUGCCAAACCUUUCAACAGAGCUUGCCCUUAAUACAUCUUCUUUUUUAGUUCGCCUUAUGGGAAUUGUUCCUUCAGGACACCUUCCUUUCAAGUGCCACAACUGGGUUAUUGGUUUUGAUGAUGUUGCUUUCUGUGCAGACACCCUUUUGCUUUCCUCGAACUUAGUCCCUUCUGGGUGGAAAUUUGGUCUCGUCUG